ACCCUCACCUAGUGGCUAGGAUUUGUCGCUCUCAUGUGUCCCUGUAGACACAGAGGCCCGACAAGGCCGGGGUUCGAUUCCCCGCAACGGUU
This is a non-coding RNA of Zasmidium cellare ATCC 36951, 92 nucleotides long. NCBI's taxonomy places the organism in Eukaryota, Fungi, Ascomycota, Dothideomycetes, Mycosphaerellales, Mycosphaerellaceae. The record is from the annotation of a RefSeq genome assembly.